UGGGCGAAAGCCUGAUGGAGCAACGCCGCGUGAGUGAAGAAGGUUUUCGGAUCGUAAAGCACUGUUGUUGGUGAAGAACGAUAGAGGUAGUAACUGGCCUUUAUUUGUCGGUAAUCAACCAGAAAGUCACGGCUAACUACGUUCCAGCAGGCGCGGUAAUACGUAUGUGGCAAGCGUUGUCCGGAUUUAUUGGGCGUAAAGCGAGCGCAGGCUGACUCAUAAGUCUGAUGUGAAAGCCCUCGGCUUAACCGGGGAAUUGCAUCGGAAAC
This 269-nucleotide ribosomal RNA is filed under the name uncultured bacterium. RNAcentral's name for it is "partial 16S ribosomal RNA". It matches the Rfam family "Bacterial small subunit ribosomal RNA", at positions 372 to 633 of the family's 1533-position model. The record is from RNAcentral.